Molecule: long non-coding RNA, 411 nt
Filed under: Oryza sativa Indica Group (long-grained rice)
Lineage: Eukaryota; Viridiplantae; Streptophyta; Magnoliopsida; Poales; Poaceae
Description: lncRNA OsIR64_10g0002050
Source: RNAcentral
CCCUUGGCGCCGUACCUUAUUGGUACUGUGGCGAAGGGUGUGGGUGUGGCGAAAGGUGCCCAGAGGCUAGCCCCCCAGCUUGGACUUAACUCAUUUUCGCCCCCAGCCCUUGACGCCAUACCUUAUUGGUAUUGUGGCAAAGGGCCUGGGUGUGGCGAAACCUAUUCGCCCCUAGCCCUUGACGCCGUACCUUAUUGGUAUUGUGGCGAAGGGUGUGGGUGUGGCGAAAGGGCGUGGGUGGACAAAACCUGUACGCCCGCAGCCCUUGACGCCGUACCUUAUUGGUACUAUGGCGAAGGGCGUGGGCGUGUGGCGAAACCUAGUCGCCCGCAGCCCUUGACGCCGUACCUUAUUGGUACUAUGGCGAAGGGCGUGGGCGUGUGGCGAAACCUAGUCGCCCGCAGCCCUUGA